This 253-nucleotide ribosomal RNA is filed under the name uncultured bacterium. Its description in RNAcentral is "partial 16S ribosomal RNA". It matches the Rfam family "Bacterial small subunit ribosomal RNA", at positions 524 to 776 of the family's 1533-position model. The record is from RNAcentral.
UACAGAGGGGGCAAGCGUUGUUCGGAAUUACUGGGCGUAAAGGGCGCGUAGGCGGCCUGCUAAGUCGAACGUGAAAUCCCCGGGCUCAACCCGGGAACUGCGUCCGAUACUGGCAGGCUUGAAUCCGGGAGAGGGAUGCGGAAUUCCAGGUGUAGCGGUGAAAUGCGUAGAUAUCAAGCGGAACACCGGUGGCGAAGGCGAGUCCCUGGACAACACCUGACACUGAGGCACGAAAGCUAGGGGAGCAAACAGG